CUGGAACUCCCUUUGCAAUAUCCAUACGCAUCCAAUCGUAACUUCCCUUUACGGCCUAAUUCGGAUACAUCAGAUCCAUACCUCGAGGGGCCGAAAAUUUCUCCGGCCAUUAGUUCCUUCACCUCAGGAACACCACCGCUAACCCUCGAACCGGCAGCUAGGGUUCCAGGCGCGGGGGCGGUGUCGAUGGGGACCUCCAGCGCCUGCGCCUCCCGCUCGGAGUGGGCGGAGCCCGGGCGGAGAGAUGGGUAGCUGAACGGAACGGCGUGGGAGGAGUCGCCAACUGCGGUGGAGCCGCCGUGCCGACCACCUCCGCCCCGACCUCGCCCACGGCCGUGACUGCCCAAGGGAGGUGAGGAGGAGAAGGCGGCGGUGACGAAGGCCGGGGAGACGAAGGACGGGAGCUUCCGUGAUCGCUGAUGAGGGAGGGCAGCGGCGGGGCGCCCCGCUCCAGCCACCGCCCAUGCCCCAUCCCCCGAUCCCCUUUUUCGUCUCCCUAUUUCGGAGGAAGAAGAAGCUUUUUCCCCUUUAACCCCCUCCCUUUCCUCUUUUUAGCACCCGAGCCCCCCGUCUCUUCAGAUUGGACUGUGGGUUGAUAUCACUAAAUGUCAGGGGGGGUUUUGCAAAAUAGCCGACGGACGAAAAUCCCAGGCAAAGGCGUUACUUGCUUUAAUAAUAGGUAAAGAUGUAAGAGGAUCUGGUUCUCCAAUUUGGAUACCUAAGACCGAACACUACAAAUUGGCAAAAUCAAAUAAAUAUUCCUUACGUUAAAAUCUUAAAACACAUGGUUACGC
This 794-nucleotide long non-coding RNA is filed under the name Setaria viridis. Its description in RNAcentral is "long non-coding RNA (SVIR_LNC000556)". Lineage: Eukaryota; Viridiplantae; Streptophyta; Magnoliopsida; Poales; Poaceae. The record is from RNAcentral.